Ciona intestinalis (vase tunicate) is the source of this 885-nucleotide non-coding RNA. The record is from RefSeq and is a predicted model, not a curated record. NCBI's taxonomy places the organism in Eukaryota, Metazoa, Chordata, Ascidiacea, Phlebobranchia, Cionidae.
CACAAUCGCUGCGUUACGUCACAUUACGUAUGUAUGACAUCGCGUCAUAACCGCUUCGCCAUCGCUCGUGAUUAUUACGUCAUGAUCCGGUACACGCCCGAGAGCACACGUUUGUGACGUGACAUUGCGUUUUUUUCUAUAUACGCUUGCUUUUCGCGACAUUAUUUCAUGGGGCCCCAUGCGCGCUUUCCGUCGUCGCAAGGCACAUUACUUAUAUACUGUCGUAUUAAUUUUAAUUAAAAAUAAAUUCGUGUUGUUGGCUAGAAAUGAAGCAUGAAGAUUAAACAAUUGGUAAAGUAUAAUUCACAAUAGGCAUUAUUACGUACACCAGUUCUUUUUUAGAUGAAAUGAGAGAUGUGACGUCACGAAGUGGUGAUGACGCAACAGAAGAACCCACUUCAAUAUGGUAUAUGACGUCACAGAGGAUAAAGGGGACAGAACACGAAUCGCGGAAAAAGAAACGACAGGCAAUAUGCCGCCAAUGAAAAAGGCAAGACGAAGAGCAAAGACGAAGGCGACUAUAAGGAUGCCGGUUUGAGGCUUUGCUUAGGCUUAGGAGUUGUGUGUUGUUGGGUGUGGUUGCUGGAGCACUCUUACAGUGUUGCCGGAUUACUGUUUGUGCCUCAUUUUUGCUGGACCUAAUGUGGCCAGCCUUUUUGUCAGUCACUACUUUAGUGCAUUUUGCAUGUCACUGAAAUAUAUGCAAUGAAACUAUGGCAAACAUCUUGCUGGAUCGGAUUUUGUUGUUGUACACGUCAUUGUGUGUUUCUUCCGCAAUGGUCGAAUCUUUUAGCGAUUUUGCAUUGUCCUAAUCACUUGAUAAAACGGGAUGUUGGUACACAAAUACUUGAGUAAUAUCUACGCGCAAUAUAAUAUAUACGCAGU